Molecule: small RNA, 411 nt
Filed under: Staphylococcus aureus
Lineage: Bacteria; Bacillati; Bacillota; Bacilli; Caryophanales; Staphylococcaceae
Description: HMPRFS0000_0028
Source: RNAcentral
AAAGUCAAAUUCGUGGUUACCGACUGCCAUAGCAUCAUAACCUACUGCAUUCAUUGCUUUAGCCAUUUCUUCACCUUUUGACUGGUUUGAAAGUGGUAAACCUUGGAAGGCGUCUCCUGCGUCUAACAUUAAAUCAGGCUUUUCUUGUUCUUUUACUGUUUUUAAUUUAGCCAUACCGAUGACACGCCCUUUUUCUUCGGCUAGUCGGCCAUGGAUAUCAUUUGUAUGUAAUAUUUUAUGUGUCGUUGUUUGUGGUGCAUUAGCAGCAAACAUUCGUGGUGAAAGUGAUGCUGUUUUAGCAUUUGAUAAUUUGAAUGUUGCUGUGUGAGUUGGUUUUUGUGUUGAGGCUUGUUGUGUAUCUACGUCGCGCGUUUCGUUUACUGUUGUUGAAACUGCUGUAGAUGGUUUGUU